This 71-nucleotide transfer RNA is filed under the name Ovis aries (sheep). It matches the Rfam family "tRNA". From Rfam's summary of the family: Transfer RNA (tRNA) molecules are approximately 80 nucleotides in length. The record is from Rfam by way of RNAcentral. Lineage: Eukaryota; Metazoa; Chordata; Mammalia; Artiodactyla; Bovidae.
UCCCUGAUGGCUGUGUGGUAAAGAAUCCGCCUGCAAUGCGGGAGACCUGGGUUUGAUCCCUGGGUUGGGAA